GCUGAGUGCUCAAACUGUCUUCAAAUAAGAUGGUGUCAGAAGCGGGAUCUGAAGUGGAGCUUCUAGCAACCCCCAGGAGCACUGAGUGAACACGCAAGGUGACUGCAGGACCCACUUGUGUCCACUGAUCUCUCAGAGUGACUGGGGAUCGUGAGUAAGCUUCCUCUUGGAUUUCAGAGUUCCACAGACUUGUGUUUUGAGCUCUCCAAGUUCCUUUGAGCAAAUAUCUGGUUCAAACUAGGUUUGGAGUUGCAACAGAAACUGGACUGGGUCCAGGAAUGGAUUUGAUCCAGUAAUGAACUGGCUUGGAUCCAAUUAGAGGUGUCUUACAUCUGAAUGGGUCAGAAAGGAACUGGUAGUAAGCAGUAAUAUUUCAGGGAUUAUAAAAUUUGGCUUUUGAAACUUCACAGGGAUUUUUGUGUUCUACCCUUUUGCUUCAUUUUUCUUGCAUGCUUAGGUAGGAAAAAUUAUUGGCUAAGUUAAGAGAACCUGAGAGUAAAGCCAAUAUUUUAGGUAAAAAUGGGAUCCUUAAUUUCUGGAAAACUGAGUUCCUUCUGGCUUAUACUUUAGGCCUGGGAGGCAGCGAAGUCUUACAGAAAUGGCAAAAUCUUACUAAAGAUAACUUACAGUGGAAUGUUCUGAAUGAACAGCAAUGCAUUGAAGUACAUUUAAAAAUGAAGACCCUUGACCAGGCGCAGUGGCUCAUACCUGUAAUCUCAGCACUUCGGGAGGCCAAGGCGGGCAGAUCAUGAGGUUAGGAGAUCCAGACCAUCCUGGCCAACAAGGUGAAACCCCGUCUCUACUAAAAAUACAAAAAUUAGCUGGGCAUUGUGGUGUGUGCCUAUAAUCCCAGCUACUCAGGAGGCUGAGGCAGCAGAAUCACUUGAACCAGGGAGUUGGAGAUUGCAAUGAGCCGAGAUCGCAGUGGAGAUUGGGCCACUGCACUCCAGCCUGGCAACAGAGUGAGACUCUGUCAAAAAAAAAAAAAAAAAAAAAAAGGCUCUCAGUAAAGUCCCUUUUGGCUAAGAACAAAUUUGGCACUACAGGAUGUCAACUGCUAUUCUCUUUGGAAUAAUCUGCCUUGCACUCUUUGCUGAUGACUAUGGGUGACAGGAUUAGGCAUAGAGAGGGUCGUGGGACAUGGGGAGUGUUUUCCUUCCCCAAAAGGGGAAACUUGAGAGCUGAUGGGACUGUUGGAAAAAAAAAUCCCUUCAUGACAGCAGCUGCAGCCACCUGAGCUUUUCAAUGUGGGUCUUUCUCUAGACUCCCUGAGCAUUUUGCCUUCCCACCCCGCCACAGGCAAUGCUUUCUCUCUCUCUCUCUCUCUCCUUUCCCUUUUUUAUCUUUUCUGUUACUCAGGGCAACCAUCUUGCCCAGAGACCACGUGUCUCUAGUUUAAUCCAAACUCCUAGUCGGAGGUUGGAUUAAAGAUGAAGGGGCCCAUGUGAGGGCAAAUUUAAGGCUUAUCAGUUUGAUAUUGGGUGAUAAGAAGAGUGGCCAAUGUCUAUGUUUUAUUACACAUAUUUUACUCUGGUCAGAACCAAAAAAGAUAAUUUUCCUUUAUGAUGCAGCUUGGCCCCCAGCGUGAUGAUGCGGCAAGCUGGGUCACUGGGGCCACUCAGGGAAAAGGAACCCAGAAGCCUGGCAUGCUGGCAAAAGGGUAAGAAUUUUUUUCUUUUUUUUUUUUGAGUCAAAGUCUCGCUCUUUUACAAGGGCAGUGGCAUGAUCUCAGCUCACUGCAACCUCUGCCUCCCAGGUUCAAGCGAUUCUCCUGCCUCAGCCCCCCGAGUAGCUGGGAGUACAGGUGUGUGCCACCACACCUGGCUAAUUUUUGUAUUCGUAGCAGAGACGGGGUUUCACUAUGUUGGCCAGGCUGGUCUUGAACUCCUGACCUCAUGAUCUGCCCGCCUCGGCCUCCCAAAGUGCUGAGAUUACAGGCAUGAGCCACCACACCCAGCCAAGGGUAAGAAUUUCUUACCAGUCAGAUUUCUGGUUUCUCUCUCUCUGUGCGAACAGUUGAAUGAAUGGUAAAAAUCACUGUUUACUCCUCUGUAAAGUUGUGAUUAAUGCAAAAAAGAAUUCUGAGGCCAGUCUCAUACUGAUGUAUUUGUGCUAUGAACUUGUUUUUCUGUGUUGAGGGGUACCUUAGGAUAAAACGUGGGCUUAGGGCCCCAUAAACUCGCUGCCCAAGAUGACCCAGCAAGCUGGUUGAUAACAAACUUUCCUGCCUGUCCCUGAAACAAACAAACAAACUACUGGAUGGGGUCUCCAUCUUGUUUUAUGUCCUUGGGUGCUUGACCUUAUAACCAUGUGGCAGUACUUUCUCUUGGUCUCUGCCUUCCAGGGAACAGGAAUUUUAGGGUUUAUGUCAUAGGUUGCUCUAAAAAUUAUCUUGAGUAGAUAAAAGGCUUUGCAAGCUCAAAAUUAACUACUCUAGACUUCUUCUGGGAAGGGCAGCAGAGACUACCCUGUUCUGUAGCUCAAUAGCUAGUGUUUUGGCAUUUCACGCUGGCAGUCCAGGUUUGAUUCCCUCUUUAGGAAGUAAGUCAUUUCUGGUUUAAUAUCUGCAUAACUUUGUCUAGUCUCUUCUCCAUGGACUAUCUUAAAUUUUCCUUUCUCUGGCCUAGUGUGGUGGCUCAUGCCUGUAAUCCCAGCACUUUGGGAGGCCAAGGCAGGUGGAUCACGAGGUCAGGAGUUUGAGGCCAUCCUGACCAACAUGGUGAAACCUC
This 2729-nucleotide long non-coding RNA is filed under the name Homo sapiens (human). RNAcentral's name for it is "HSALNT0190022". Lineage: Eukaryota; Metazoa; Chordata; Mammalia; Primates; Hominidae. The record is from RNAcentral.